Molecule: long non-coding RNA, 483 nt
Filed under: Olea europaea (common olive)
Lineage: Eukaryota; Viridiplantae; Streptophyta; Magnoliopsida; Lamiales; Oleaceae
Description: long non-coding RNA (OEUR_LNC002968)
Source: RNAcentral
UCACGUUUUAGCAUGUUUUCUACGGUAGAUUGGACAUUACUAGACAGUAUUAAAGGAGAAAAAUAGGCUUGAUCAGUUUUUAUCGUACGUCUCUUCAGUUUAGAAGGAACCUAAACCCUAGUAAUGCUAGCAGAAUUCUGGUCUAGUUGCACUAAAAGUAGAGAAUCCAUGAAAACUUUUGCAUCUGACUUUGCAUAAAACUCUCUCAGCAAUGUAGCAAGUCAACCAUUGAAAUUAAGUAAAGUAAGAGGAAGAAAGAAGUAAUCGAGUAAAAUAUAUUGUAUGGCACUUAAAUUCAAAUGAAAUUUGCUUUACAAUUUUCCUACUUCAUCUUUUCUUGUCGUCCCACUUUCUUAUUAGAAUGAUACAUACAAAUUUAGGUAUUUGUUGCAACCAAUACGGACCAGGACAUUGUCAUGGGUCCCAAUAUCUCAAAGACUAGUGCCCUUUGAGUCAUCAAAUUAUUUUUUACAUAGAUAUCCA